UAGGGAAUCUUCCGCAAUGGGCGAAAGCCUGACGGAGCAACGCCGCGUGAGUGAUGAAGGUCUUCGGAUCGUAAAACUCUGUUAUUAGGGAAGAACAAAUGUGUAAGUAACUAUGCUCGUCUUGACGGUACCUAAUCAGAAAGCCACGGCUAACUACGUGCCAGCAGCCGCGGUAAUACGUAGGUGGCAAGCGUUAUCCGGAAUUAUUGGGCGUAAAGCGCGCGUAGGCGGUUUUUUAAGUCUGAUGUGAAAGCCCACGGCUCAACCGUGGAGGGUCAUUGGAAACUGGAAAACUUGAGUGCAGAAGAGGAAAGUGGAAUUCCAUGUGUAGCGGUGAAAUGCGCAGAGAUAUGGAGGAACACCAGUGGCGAAGGCGACUUUCUGGUCUGUAACUGACGCUGAUGUGCGAAAGCGUGGGGAUCAAACAGG
Molecule: ribosomal RNA, 429 nt
Filed under: Actinomycetes bacterium
Lineage: Bacteria; Bacillati; Actinomycetota; Actinomycetes
Description: Actinobacteria bacterium partial 16S ribosomal RNA
Rfam family: Bacterial small subunit ribosomal RNA
Source: RNAcentral